RNAcentral lists this long non-coding RNA (1346 nucleotides) under Gossypium barbadense (sea-island cotton). RNAcentral describes it as "long non-coding RNA (GBAR_LNC007696)". The record is from RNAcentral. Lineage: Eukaryota; Viridiplantae; Streptophyta; Magnoliopsida; Malvales; Malvaceae.
CAUCCCAUCAUUUAAAUCAAAGCCAUUAACCCUAUUUGUUAGGGUUUCAUUUGGCAAGCGGUUGUCGAACCACCAUUUUAUUUGGUGACCGACAGUUCUCAGGUUAGAUCUGGUACACGCCCACGGAGGUAAGCUUUCCAUUUUCUUUUUCUUCUUAAAAAAACUCAAGUCAUGCAUUACUCCUUUUAAGAAACAAAGCAUAAAUUCAAAAGAAUCAAAACCGACCCUCACCCGAAUCUUUAUAUUUUCGAGAUACUUGGGUGUUUAUCGGUGUCGUUUCACAUACUAAAACGAGCCAAACGAAAAGAAAAUAAAGAGACCGAAAAGAAAAACUUUGAAAUCACCUUUGCUAUUUCGAUUGCUUUUUCUCUAUUCUGUGUGCGUAUAUUUUCAUAAAAAAGAUCAAUACAUUCUUUUUUGGCUUUAUAGCCGAAAUCUAAAAGAAAAAAAAUAAAUAUAAAAAUACAAUAUUUUUUUCUUGUUUUUUGCUGUUGUGUUUGUCUCGUUUGUUUGCAGGUACUGGGUACGGGGCGUGUGCUGGCACUUGGCGUGAGGUGUACAGAGGCGCGCGUGGCGGCAUGGAGGGUACGGAGCCAGGCCUUGGGCUCACGGAGGCCGUACAUGAAGGUGUUGGCUGCGACGCACCUAAGAAACCUAGGGUUUUUGUUGCUAAGGAAUUUUGGGGCGGUUAGGCCUUGAACCUUUAGGUCUAGAUUUGGGCUUGUAGUAGGUUUGGGCUAGGGUAUUAAUUUGGGUAUUGGGUUAGUGAUUUGAAUUUAAUGUUUAGGUUUGGUUUGGUUUAAGCUUGAAUAUUUGUAAACGAACAUUGGACUUUUGGUUUUUUUUAAUUUAUGUUUCUGGGUUUAUUGCAGGCCGGGCAAAAAUGGGACAUUACACCACUUAUUUUGGCUUGUUCUGGUUGCCUAAUUAUGGCUUGUUGAUAUGCAUAAUGUUGAUUGUAGGUUGACACAAAAUUGGGUGAGAAAUAUGGCUUGUAAAAUGGCCUAUUUUCAUCCAUGCGGCCUAAGACACGGGCGUGUCUCAUGGUUGUGUGAGUCACAUAGCCUGGCCACACAGCCGUGUGACCCCUGCAGUGUUGAAAAUUUUAAAUAUUUUUGAAAAUUUUUUUGAGUUUUCGAUUUAGUCCCGAUUUAUUUAUAAUGUGUAAUUUGGGCCUCGAGGGCUCGUUUAAGGGGCAAUAUGUAUGAUUUUGAUUGGUUUUUGACAUGAAUUCUAUGUGAUAUGAAUUGUGUGCAUUUUCUGUUUGUUUGAUUUGUAAACUCCAGUAAUACUCCGUAACUCUGUUCUGGUGACCAAUUCGAGUUAGGGGUGUUACACUAAAAAUG